Molecule: long non-coding RNA, 4698 nt
Organism: Zea mays
Lineage: Eukaryota; Viridiplantae; Streptophyta; Magnoliopsida; Poales; Poaceae
Exons: 4
Source: RefSeq, a predicted model, not a curated record
CUCGCUACCGCAUUCUCUGCCCCUCGCCCACCCUCGCGCGCGUCCAGCGUGCGCAGAGGCAGCGUCCCUCCCUCUGUCGUGCGUGGCGGUGGCGCCCCCUCCCUCUCGACCACGUGAGCGGGUGUGAGGCGAGAGAUAGACGAUGGUUGACUGCCUCGAGCAUCGAAGAGCGGGGAAUCCAAGGGCGAGAUGAUGAUCCAGUUUGUGUUGUUCAUCAACAAACAGGGCUAGACACGGCUAGGGCGGUACUACGAGCACCUCCAUCGACGAGCGACGAGCCCUCGAGGGUCAGAUCGUCCACAAGUGCCUCACCCGCACCAACUGGCAGGUUUGUCAUCCGUCGGUCCGUCCGCAUCGCUGCCUCAUCACCCCUGAUCAUCCUUCUUCCCCAAGUCCCGUCUGUUGCUUCUUUCCCACUGAUCCGACCAUAUCAUUGCCCUCCUUUCCGGAUCCACGAACCUACUGGGUUUGUGUUGAUCGUCUUGGAUCUGGAUAGGGAUAAAGGGUUUUCCUGCCCUUCUGAUUUUCUAAGACUCCCGCUGAUUUUGUGUUGAUGCAAUGUUCAUUUGUGGAGCACCGGAACUACAAGGUCAUUUACAUGCUCUACAUGUUCCAAUUCUUCCUCGUCGGUGUUGGCAGCGAUGAGGUGCGAACCACCCCUGUGCCAUCUCUCAAUGCCUCUUGCAUUUGGGAAUUCAGGCUACCGCCAUGCUAAUUUCGCUGUGAUUGCAAACUGUGGAUGAAGUCGAUCCUCUGAUAUACCAUUGUUACAGCCUGGGUUUAGCUGCUGCAAUAUAUCUGUGCUCAACCUUGAUUGUGAUGACAAUGGUUUGGCAGUAAACAUUAUUAUGCAGAUCUGUGAACCACAAAGAUUACACAUACCUCAAAUAAAUUGUCUUCCUUAAAGUCAUAAUAAGUUAUUUUUUCUCAUAUUUUCUAGCAUAUGGCUAGCACCCAGCACUAGCAGACCUCAUCACUUCUGAAUUAUUGCUCAGCUUACUUGCGGAAUAGCUGGUUAUGAUUACCAGUCUGUUAGGAGAUGGACAACAUUCAAGAGGCUGGGUUAUGGCCUUGUCGAGUGUGAGAAAAUCUUUGUUCCAGUGCAUAGAAAUGCACAUUGGUGCACAUAGAUAUGACAAUGCACUGGUUCCGGAUGGCCUUCCCUAUGAAAUUGUUGGAGUUGAGCCAGGUUAUAUAUGGUUUCAGCCAAACCUAUCCUGGCGAAUUUUCAGCUCUAUGUGCAGUUACUCGAUCUUAUUAUUGUUGAAAUAGAAGUGUGCUCCAUUUACAAAGAGCUCUACAGGUGAGCUCAUGCCCCAUCUCAUUAAACUAAAAGUGCUACGUGCUUUAGACCCCAAAGAGAAUUUUUAUUAGGGAUUGGAUUAUCGUACUAUAGCACCAUCUUCUGCACAUAUCUACUGUACAUAUGUUUUGUUUAUAUAGUUCGUUUAUGACAUUAUUGCAUGUCUGCAUCUAGGUACUAGAAUGACCCUGAUACUCUUCAAAAGCACCUAUAUAUUAUCGACCCUUUGGAGUCUACACAAGCACCUAAUCUUCUUUUUCUUGUAGGUAUGGCCUCUAUAAUGCAUGAGAUGUGAAGGACAAUAUCAGAGAGCUUAUGAAUGUGAACCCGUAGGACUCCACAAUAUCCUUCUCAUUGUCUUUGACAGAAAACAACGAUCAUGUGCAGUUUUUUUUUAAAAAGUAAAACAAUAUUUUGAAUGCAUAUAUCCUUGUUGUCUUCUGAAAUAAAGGACCAAUAAUUGUAUUUGCAUAUGGUGAUUUUAUUCAACAUGCUGCUGUGAAUAUUAGUGUUUCAAUUGGAUCUUACUGCUACACUUGGUUGCAUAGGUUCUGUCAAGUUAGCGAACACCACAAACCACUGAUAUGGUCUGCUGUUAUGUCCUAAUGCCCCAUUCUGUUUCUGCUAUUUAUAGUAUGCAUUAUAUAUAAUUCUAUUUGGCACCAGGAAAACUUGAACGUAUGUGUUGAUGCCUUAAAUAUGUCAGCGGAUAUCCUUGAAGGUUCAAUGGAUCAACAUUUCCAUUCGAUAAUGCAAAAUCGCCAUACACAACAUAGAAGGGAUAUGGUCGAUGAUAACUUAACAUCAGAAAUAAUUGAAGAAACUGUUAAUUAUGAAGAAUUGCAUCACAUGUUUACUUUUAUUUUUUAUUGCUAAUAAAUCAUCAUCAAUUGUUUAUAGAUAAUCUAUUGCAUUUUACUCGAUAAGGUAUAUUUUGCCUGGAGAACAGUUUCAGUUGGGUGGAAACUUAUUUACCGGGACAUAUGUUUGCAAACGCAACAAGUUGCCUGAUCACUUUUUAGAGUUUGUUUCACUUUUUUGUCCAUGUCAUUACGCGCCCCUUAGCAGUAUACAUUUAUCAGUUGAUUCAACCACAAGUUCGAAUUCAUUUUUUGGGCCCGCUGUUAGAUCGAGUCCAUGUACAUUUAUCAUUUUUUGGAAACCAAAUGGAGUUUAGAUAUCAUGAAUAUCUAAUGAGUUCACUGCAUUUAUUUUGUUAUGUAUACUCUUUUUGUAGUUUUAUAAUAUAGUUAUCUAUAUUCAUCUGUUCCCUUUGGUUUAUGAGGACAAUUUCUCUUUAUUGUGGAUGGAUGAGAGAGAACUAUGUUCCUACUUUUUGGGAUGCAAUUGCUCCACAGCUCAUGACACAUGUAAUAUUUUUGUUAAUGUUGGUACAUCUUGAUACAUAUAACACACAGUUGUGAUAAUAAUUCGCAGCGUGUUUUAUGAUUUCUAAUCCUCACCUUCUCUUUUCCAGUUGGGCUGCUAUUUUACCCCGUGAAGUGUGAACUCCAACCAGGCCUCUUAAGUUAGAGUUAGCUAAUAUCCCGAAUUACAGAAAAGCAGGUGGUUACACCAACAGAUAAUGAACUGAUAGUUGUUGGAGAUGGUCAUUCAGGUACCAUAUCUGUUCGUGCAGCUGGUAACGACCUUAUAAGACCAUUUGAUGUUGCUGUUGUUGUACCCACUUGAGCUAGACCCUUUUCCAUCGUACGCAACAAAUUGAUUAUAUGACAUACUGAUAUUUCAUGUCAGAGGAUCAAUCUCUUUCAGUUAGGAAUCGACAGAUCCAAGAUGUAGAAAACUCUACUUUUUGUAGCACUACUCAUUCUCUUUUUAUUAACUACUCUCUUUUUAUACAUGCAUGGAUCUUUGAAUCGGCUCUCUUUUAGAUUUGUAUAUAUGCUCGGAUUCUCGCAACUCUUGUAUUUGUUGUAUUGUUAUUUAUUUAAUAGAAUCAAGUCCAUAACAGGAAAACCACACUUGUUUUUAAUGGAAUGAAGUUCUUAACAGAAUAUGAUUGUGUGCAUAUAACAAUUAUGUACAUAUAACAAUUUUUUGUAUUUGAGAUUCGUCUGUACAUUUUUUCAAACCCAAAACUUGUUUAUCUAUUUUCAGAAAACUGUAAUUAUCUAUUUGUUUUGGCUAAAUGAGGGGCAGAUGAUGAUGAUGAGACACCCAUGGAUAUUGAUUCGUGUUAGGUGGAAUAUUUUGGUUUGUCCGAAGUUUACCCGUGAGUUUUUGUUUACCUUUUGGAAUAGAACUCCAUUGUGUCUGUUUGUCCCACACUUUUCUUUCUUUUCCUACAUCUGCUGGAACUCUGAUCCAUCUCACUUCUCAGAGCUCUUCUUCGUUUUCAAUGUGGUUUGUUCACCUACUAUGUCUGCUAGAACAAAUUUUUUCAAGGAAAAUUCAGAGGCAUUAUCAGCCGCAGCAGCUGUGGCUGCCAUUUUCUUCACCGUGUUACUGUAGCAACGAUAGAAAAUGUUGAAACGUAUCUCAACAUUUUUUGGGUUGAUCUGGUUAGUACGAAAUACUUUCUCUUUUUUUUCUUUACAAGUACGGACGGCAAGCGCACAAGAACUGGACGCCUCCUCCCAGGCUCCCAUGCCGUAAACAGUCGACGAGGAAAUGCUCAAGAAAAGGAAGCGUCCCAUUGGGCGGUGGAAGCACAGAUGAGCAGCAGCCUCAGUUGCAUCUACACUGCAAGCAGACGAUCCUUUCCUGACAUCUAGCGGCCACGCAGAAGCUGCAGUCUUCAGGUGCUGACCACGAUUUCUUUGAUCUGGAGAAGCUGAGCUUUGUUGCGCCAUUGCCGUUGCACAUGCGGUUGAGCUGGAAGAUUUGCCCAUAGGAAAAUAAUGCUGUCAUAUUUUUAGGCAUGUCUGCUUGCUGUAUUGUAAGACCUAUAUGUUAGCUAUAUUGCCAUACAAAACACUAAUUUGCAGAGCGGAGUUUAAAUAUGAGGACGAGGAUUGGUAAGAGACUAAAGAUAGUCGUGUUGGAUUUGCUUUAAGACGCCGCAAAAAGAACAACCUGAAACUCUUAAUUUGUGUAAGGGACAAGUAUUUUAAAAAUACAUUGAAUAGAUUUAUCGUUGCCACACUAAAAUAAAGACUUGCUAUCUGUUGCAGGAGUCUCAUGGGAGUCUGCUCUGCAAAAAAACGCAGAUUACCGAUCUUAGAUAGAAGGAAACAUAGUGGGGGGAAAAGGAAGCUUUUGUUUUCUUGUACUAUAGAAUUAGCAAUUCGUGCUUUUGUCCCGGUCUUAGUUAUUCAGGAAACGAACAUUGAAUUUAACUGUGCAAUUUUUAGACCCAACUUGACGAUUCACAUCUUUUGUGGGUAGUUCGCCCGUUUCACUUUCGUGGUGUUUUCUUGUAGCCUUUUGUCUGC